GACGAACGCUGGCGGCGUGCUUAACACAUGCAAGUCGAACGGUAAGGCCCUUCGGGGUACACGAGUGGCGAACGGGUGAGUAACACGUGGGUGAUCUGCCCUGCACUUCGGGAUAAGCCUGGGAAACUGGGUCUAAUACCGGAUAGGACCCUGGGAUGCAUGUCCUGGGGUGGAAAGCUUUUGCGGUGUGGGAUGGGCCCGCGGCCUAUCAGCUUGUUGGUGGGGUGAUGGCCGACCAAGGCGACGACGGGUAGCCGGCCUGAGAGGGUGACCGGCCACACGGGGACUGAGAUACGGCCCAGACUCCUACGGGAGGCAGCAGUGGGGAAUAUUGCACAAUGGGCGCAAGCCUGAUGCAGCGGCGCCGCGUGAGGGAUGACGGCCUUCGGGUUGUAAACCUCUUUCAGCACCGACGAAGCGCAAGUGACGGUAGGUGCAGAAGAAGGACCGGCCAACUACGUGCCAGCCGCCGCCGUAA
Molecule: ribosomal RNA, 478 nt
Filed under: uncultured bacterium
Lineage: Bacteria
Description: partial 16S ribosomal RNA
Rfam family: Bacterial small subunit ribosomal RNA
Source: RNAcentral